GACGAACGCUGGCGGCGUGCCUAAUACAUGCAAGUCGAACGCUUCUUUCCUCCCGAGUGCUUGCACUCAAUUGGAAAGAGGAGUGGCGGACGGGUGAGUAACACGUGUGUAACCUACCCAUCAGAGGGGGAUAACACUUGGAAACAGGUGCUAAUACCGCAUACCAGUUUAUGCCGCAUGGCAUAAGAGUGAAAGGCGCUGUCGGGUGUCGUUGAUGGUUGGCCCCGGGGUGCUUUAGCUAGUUGGGGAGGUAACGGCUCACCAGGGCCACGAUGCAUAGCGGACCUGAGGGGGGGAUCGCCCACAUGGGAACUGAGAACGGGCCCAGACUCCUACGGGAGGCAGCGGUAGGAAAUUUGCGGAAAGGGACGAAAGUCGAACCGGGCAACGCGGGGUGAGUGAAGAGGGUUUUCGGAUCGUAAAACUCUGUUGUUAGAGAAGAACAAGGAAGUUAGUAACUGAACGGCCCCGAACGGUAUCUAAGAAGAAAGCCAGGCCUACCUACGG
RNAcentral lists this ribosomal RNA (507 nucleotides) under uncultured bacterium. RNAcentral describes it as "partial 16S ribosomal RNA". It matches the Rfam family "Bacterial small subunit ribosomal RNA", at positions 28 to 506 of the family's 1533-position model. The record is from RNAcentral.